AAUACCAUGGGCUUAUGAAUUGUUAGAGCCUAAACCACCACGUCAAGGGAAAGGGGAAACAAUGAAGAACGCCUCAUUUCCCAAGUCAAUCAUACUUAGUCCUCUCUCCCUCACACCAAACCUCUCAUCGAAGCCCUUACCCCACCGCUCUGGAAAUCGCCUCCGGUGGCGGUGAAGGUCCAAACACUAUCAAGUUUACCUCAUCUGGCUUGUUUUUAUUUCUUCUCACUCAAUCUCAUAAUAUUUUCUUUGAAUUCCUAACCAACGCUGCGAAUCAAACCAAAAUGUUCGUGAACCGUAAAAUUACAAAACGAAAUUAAAUGGUGCAGAUGAGCUAAAAGGAGUCCAAACCUUAGGGGUUUGGCUCCUUAAGAACGUCACUAUAUUGUGGUAAGGGAGAGGGUUCAAUUUAAAGAGGAAAAGGCGUGAAACCUACCAAUGAGAACAAGAUGUUCCCCGGAAAUUAUUGGAAUGAAGAAGAUGAAGCCAAAGAGAAUUCUAGAGAAAACUUCAAGGAGGAAAAUGCUCCAAGCUUGCUUUUCCUCUGCUAUCUUCGUCUUCUUCUUAAACUUAUAGUCUGGAUGACACAUGGUAGGAGGAGCAAGUCAUGGAGGUUGGCACAAAUGUUAUGAAGAACAUGGGUCAAGGUUUGCAUGGUAAGGUUCAUAAAAGUUUUGGCAAGCUAUCAAACAUGAAGAUCUUGACCACUUUGGAAUAUAUUGUGAAGGAAGAAAAUUAGAAUUAGGGUUUUAGGAUUAGGAUUAGUUCAGUUGACUUUGGCCAAUUGUUUGACCAAAAAGUCAAUAGUUGACCAAAGUCAAUUGUAGGUCAAAAGUGAAAUCUUGUGUAAUUUGGCUUUGUAAUUUGGAUUUUAAAUGUAAAAUGGAUGUUUUGGUAAUUAAAAAUGGUCUUAAAUGAAAUGUCUUGUAUGUUAA
This is a long non-coding RNA of Lathyrus oleraceus (garden pea), 935 nucleotides long. RefSeq lists it as uncharacterized. The record is from RefSeq and is a predicted model, not a curated record. Lineage: Eukaryota; Viridiplantae; Streptophyta; Magnoliopsida; Fabales; Fabaceae. The transcript has 2 exons.